This 1840-nucleotide long non-coding RNA is filed under the name Gallus gallus (chicken). Its description in RNAcentral is "lncRNA (ENSGALG00010015385.1)". The record is from RNAcentral. Lineage: Eukaryota; Metazoa; Chordata; Aves; Galliformes; Phasianidae.
UUGAGAAGAAAUUCCACUCUAAGUUUAUUGAAAUAUGUUACAACAUCUGUGUGGUGGUUUCACCCUGAUGGACAGCUAAACUAUACUGCUCUCUCAGCCCUCACCAUGAAGGAGCUGGGGAGAAAAUACAAUGAAAGAGGGCUCAGGUGUUGAGAUAAGUGCAGGGAAAUCACUCAUCAAUUACUAUCAUGGGCAAAACAGACUCAGUGUUGGAAGACUAAUGUAAUUUAUUGCCUACUGCUACCAGGUGAGAGCAGUGAGAACUAAAAGCAGACUAAAACACCUUCACACCAUACACCUUCUCCUACUUUCUCCUGAGUGGCACAGGACAACGGGGCUGUAGACAGCCCAUAAUACAUCAUCUCUGCUGUUCCUCCAUGGUCACUCCCUUCCCCUGCUCCAUGUGGGUCCCUCCCAUGGAUGCCAUCCUUCCCCAGCUGAUCUUUCAUGGCUUCCCACGGGAUGCAGCUCUUCAAGCAUGUUUCCAACACAGCUCCAUACCACAGGGCCAUCCCUCAGGCACUGCUCCAGCACAGCUCCAAGGGCAGCAGUUCCUGCAGCCUCCUUCAAGCCACAUCCACUGCUGCACCAUGAGUUCCUCCACAGCUGAGUGGGGAGGUAUGUUCCAGAUGGUGUCCAUGGGCUGCAGGGGGACAGCCUCCUCCACCACGGGUCUCUCCUGGGCCACAGGGAACCGCUGCUGCUGCAUGCCUGAAACAUCUCCUUCCCUUCUUCUGCGCUGACCUUGGUGGCUGCAGGGUUGUUUUAGAGUUGUUUUUAUUUCUGCUAAUAUGAAAACCUUUACUGUACCCAUGGGCUGCAGAAUGAGAUGGCUCUUCUGUGUAAACAACUCCUUGGUAAUCAUUUGCCAAGUGUGAGCACAUUGUUUUGCCCCUCUGAUCUGUUUCAGCAGAAAAGUGGGGGAAAUUUGGUGUUGGAAGUAUUUAGCAGAGCCUUUCUAAUUGCUCCUGGAGAAACAUCAGGUAACUAGCGCAUCCUUAAAAAAAACUCACAAACCAGAAGGAAGGAGUAUUUUUGUAGAAAACAUCAAAAGCCAGGUACUGUCUCUGCAUGAACUGUCAGGAUGAAAUGUACAAGGGGCAUGAAGGAGGUGCAAGCACUAACAGCCAUUGGUGGUUUUUUUUAUAUUUGUAGCCAAAAUUGUUUGGAUUUAGAACUCCAAAAGUUCUCAUAUAAGCAGGAAGGCAUGGGAAGCUUGGGAGAGAUAAAUAGAAAUGUCUGGAAAUUGGGCCUUUCAUGUUGUCUGUGCACUGAAUAACUGGCAACUUUUAUAGUUAUUGCCCUAGACAUCUUAAGCCAAGCAAUAGCUUACAAUGAGAAUUGCUUAGCUUAUUCUUGUGGGCAGGGAUAUGUUUUCCCAUGCACUGAAAAUGUGAUUUGGACAUUAUUCUCACUGAAUAGGACAGCAAUCUCCAAGUGUUUAUAUUGUGAUUGUAAUGGCACUGAUUUUUAAUUUUUUUUUUUUGGCAGUGAUAGUUUUUCUUUGUUUUCAUGUAAGAACAGUCUUUAAAUGUGUGAGAAAGUAGAAGAAAGAAAGCAGAAGGUCCUAAACAGCAGUGAAUUAACACCGAAAGAGUCUGGAUGUUAGAUGUGCAGAAAGAAAGUGAUCAGUAACCCUUAGUAAAGUUGCAAGUGCCGUGCAUUUGCUUGCAGUACUGAGAAUUUAACAGCUGGUACCUAGCAGUCAGGGCAUCAGGUUAGCAAUAUGUUGCCUUUAGAGAUAUUUCUUUUGGGUAUCUUUUAAUCCCACUUUAUCCAAGACAGGCGGGCUGUCAGAUCUGCACCAAACAGAAGAAAGAAAGGAAAACAAAGUAAGCAC